Molecule: RNA transcript, 2102 nt
Organism: Daktulosphaira vitifoliae (grape phylloxera)
Lineage: Eukaryota; Metazoa; Arthropoda; Insecta; Hemiptera; Phylloxeridae
Gene: eIF2Bbeta
Gene name: translation initiation factor eIF-2B subunit beta
Exons: 9
Source: RefSeq, a predicted model, not a curated record
UUUUACUAAUUAUGCUAUAUUAUUCUCAAUUUAAUACUUUGAAAUACAUUGUUAUUUUGUAUAGAUUGUAUAUUAAGUUUAUGGUUAAAUAAAUCUAAUUUUCUUUUAUAGAAUUGAGAUUAUUUAUAGUAUCGAAAUUUUGUUGUAUUUUCAAUUACAAACCAAAUAAAAUAUGGAAGUUGAGAAAUAUGAAGUACUUUUAGAAAGCUUUAUUUCAAAUAUUAAAAGGAAAAAAUUGAAUGACAACUGUAAAAUUGCUGAAGAAACAAUAAAACUCUUAAGACAUUUUAUUGAAACAACAAAUUGGUCUACUGCAAAGGAAUUGUUGAUUCAUUUGAGGAAAUAUGGACACAUUUUAACAUCAGCCUUGCCUAUACAAUUUGUUGUUGGAAAUAUAGUUAGAAGAAUAUUAAAUAUUGUAAGAGAAGAAUAUAUUGCUGCUCGAAAAAAUUCUGUUGAAGACAUUGAUGUACAAGAUUCAUUACAUAAAAUAGUUACUUCUGAGGAUGAUAUUGAUGAUUACAACAAUUUUGUUCCUGAACUUAAAUUAUCAAUUUUUGAACAUUUAGAUGAAUUUCAAAUGGAAAUAGAAUCAAGUAAUGAAGAUAUUGCUAAACAAGCUCGUGAGCAUAUUCAUUCAAAUGAAAUCAUACUUACUGUUGGCAAGUCAUCUGAAGUUGAAAUGUUUUUAAAAGAAGCAGCUAAAGACCGUAGCUUUGAAGUAUUUAUUACUGAAUGUGGUCCAUUGAAUAGUGGGAAGCAAUUAGCCUUGAAUCUCUCGAGACAUAAAAUUCCAAUUACUCUAAUUCCUGAUUGUGCCAUGUUUGGGAUUAUGUCAAGAGUGAAUAAAGUUAUAAUUGGUGUUGAUUCUGUAAUGGCAAAUGGUGGACUCAGGACAUUUAGUAGCUGUCAUGCUGUAUCAUUAGCUGCUCAUCACUAUUCUGUACCUGUUUUAGUUUUAGCACCUUUAUACAAAUUAAGUACUCGUUAUUUGUGUUCAUACAAUCAAGAUGCAUUUAAUGAAUUUGUAUCUCCAUCUGGAGUUAUAAAUUAUUCUAAUUCAGAUGUUACAAAAGUUGAUGUUUACAAUCCAACCUAUGAUUAUGUACCUCCUGAAAAUGUGACGCUGUUCAUUUUCAACAAUUAGUAUAUUAUGUCAUUAAAAUUAUUUUUUGGUUAUUUUAUAUAUCUCCAUAAGAUUGUUUCUUUAACCAAUUUUCAUGGUGGCCAAUCACCUUCAUAUGUUUAUAGAUUACUGUCAGAAAUGUAUCAUUCAGAUGAUUAUGAUUUAUCAGUUUAAAAAUAUUUAAUAUUUUACUCAAUAAUUCUAUUGUAUUGUUAAAUAAAUUUUUGAAAAGAAGCAUGGAAGAUUUUGUUGGCUCAUAUGAACUCAUGUUUAAGUAAUUAAAAUAUUAUUCAAAAUGUGCUUUAUAAAUUGUUUUUAUGAUAAGACUUUUCCUAUAUCUGUUAUUUUAUGGUUUUUUUAGUAUGGAAUUAUAUACAAAUUUUACUCAACAUUUUAAAAAAUCAUCUCAAAUUUUAGUAUAUUUAAUCUUGUAUUAAAAAAAUCUUCAAAAAAAUGACUCGAUUAUAAUAUAUGAAGAGUGAAUGUGUCAAACGUUCUAUGUGUCAAAAACAUAUUUGUUCAGAAAAUACAAAAAACAAUGGUAACAUGGGCAUGUCUCACAUAUCAAACACCAUCUAUGAAUGCAAUUUUGUACAAGUAAAAAAUUUAAUUGACAUUUGAAACACAUACAAGAUUGUGGCCUUUGGCACAUAGAACAUAAAUCAGAAAUAAAACAAUUUUUCACUUUUUUGGCACAUAGAACGUUUGACACAUUCACUCUUCAUGUAUACAGAACUCAUUAUCUUUGAAGUGUGUGACAUGUACUUAUACUUUCAAAAAUGAUCAUCCCUACCUCAUAUUCUUUAUAAACAUUUAAAUUUUAAUGUAAAUAAAUUGUUUUAUAUUUAUAUUGUUGAAAGAAGAUAUAUUGUGGAUUGACAAAAGAUUAUAACACAAUUAGUUACAAUAAAAUAAUGAGUAAUAUUUUAUUAUAAUUAACACAUAUUAAUGUAUAAAUAAAACUGUUUUCUAUCAA